This 438-nucleotide ribosomal RNA is filed under the name uncultured bacterium. RNAcentral's name for it is "bacterial SSU rRNA". It matches the Rfam family "Bacterial small subunit ribosomal RNA", at positions 28 to 506 of the family's 1533-position model. The record is from RNAcentral.
GAUAAACGCUGGCGGCGUGCCUAACACAUGCAAGUCGAACGAUCCCGCAAGGGAGAGUGGCGGAAGGGUGAGUAACACGUGGGAAUCUACCUCCUCGCAGGGAACAACCUCUCGAAAGAGAGGCUAAUACCCAAAAGGGUCAGAAAUGAUCAGAGUCGAAAGGCGUGAGGAGAGGAGCCCGCGGCCCAUCAGCUAGUUGGUGAGGUAAUGGCUUACCAAGGCUACGACAGGUAGGGGAUCUGAGAGGAUGUCCCCCACACUGGAACUGAAACACGGUCCAGACGCCUACGGGUGGCAGCAGUGAGGAAUAUUGGACAAUGGGCGAAAGCCCGAUCCAGCAACGCCGCGUGGAGGAUGAAGGCCUUCGGGUACGUAAACUUCUUUAGGAGGGAGACGAGAAAGGACGGUAUCCCUAGAAUAAGCGACGGCAAACUACGU